UUUGGAGUGGCAUCAGAAGAAGAACUGCAUCUGACUCGUAAACUGUUCUGGGGAAUCUUCGAGUCUCUAGCACACAAGAAAUUUGACGCUGAGAUUUUCAAAAUUGCCAUGCCAUGCCUCUGCGCCAUAGCUGGAGCAAUUCCUCCUGACUAUGUUGAUGCCAGUUACUCUUCCAAAACGGAGAAAAAAGCUUCGGUGGAUUCAGAAGGAAACUUUGAUCCUAAACCAGUUGAAACCACAAAUACGAUUAUCCCUGAGAGACUGGAUCCAUUUAUCAACAAAUAUGCAGAAUUUACGCAUGACAAAUGGGCCUUUGAAAAGGUAAUUUAG
This is a long non-coding RNA of Thalassophryne amazonica, 330 nucleotides long. RefSeq lists it as uncharacterized. NCBI's taxonomy places the organism in Eukaryota, Metazoa, Chordata, Actinopteri, Batrachoidiformes, Batrachoididae. The transcript has 3 exons. The record is from RefSeq and is a predicted model, not a curated record.